GAUGAACGCUGGCGGCGUGCCUAAUACAUGCAAGUCGAGCGGACGGACGAGAAGCUUGCUUCUCUGAUGUUAGCGGCGGACGGGUGAGUCACACGUGGAUAACCUACCUAUAAUACUGGGAUAACUUCGGGAAACCGGAGCUAAUACCGGAUAAUAUUUUGAACCGCAUUGUUCAAAAGUGAAAUGCGGUCUUGCUGUCUCUUAUAGAUGGAUCCGCGCUGCAUUAGCUAGUUGGUAAGGUAACGGCUUACCAAGGCAACGAUGCAUAGCCGACCUGCGAGGGGGAUCGGCCACACUGGAAGUGAGACACGGUCCAGACGCCUACGGGAGGCAGCAGUAGGGAAUCGUCCGCAAUGGGCGAAAGCCUGACGGAGCAACGCCGCGUGAGUGAUGAAGGUCUUGGGAUCGUAAAACUCUGUUAUUAGGGAAGAACAUAUGUGUAAGUAACUGUGCACAUCUUGACGGUAACUAAUCAGAAAGCCACGGCUAACUACGUG
Molecule: ribosomal RNA, 497 nt
Filed under: uncultured bacterium
Lineage: Bacteria
Description: partial 16S ribosomal RNA
Rfam family: Bacterial small subunit ribosomal RNA
Source: RNAcentral